Molecule: ribosomal RNA, 241 nt
Filed under: Salmonella enterica subsp. enterica serovar Albany
Lineage: Bacteria; Pseudomonadati; Pseudomonadota; Gammaproteobacteria; Enterobacterales; Enterobacteriaceae
Description: partial 16S ribosomal RNA
Rfam family: Bacterial small subunit ribosomal RNA
Source: RNAcentral
AAAUUGAAGAGUUUGAUCAUGGCUCAGAUUGAACGCUGGCGGCAGGCCUAACACAUGCAAGUCGAACGGUAACAGGAAGCAGCUUGCUGCUUCGCUGACGAGUGGCGGACGGGUGAGUAAUGUCUGGGAAACUGCCUGAUGGAGGGGGAUAACUACUGGAAACGGUGGCUAAUACCGCAUAACGUCGCAAGACCAAAGAGGGGGACCUUCGGGCCUCUUACCAUCAGAUGUGCCCAGAUGG